UACGUAGGGGGCAAGCGUUGUCCGGAUUUAUUGGGCGUAAAGAGCGUGUAGGCGGCCAUGCAGGUCCGUUGUGAAAACUCGAGGCUCAACCUCGAGACGCCGAUGGAAACCGUGUGGCUAGAGUCCGGAAGAGGAGCGUGGAAUUCCUGGUGUAGCGGUGAAAUGCGCAGAUAUCAGGAAGAACACCGGUGGCGAAGGCGGUCUGCUGGGCAGUUGCUGACACUGAGGCGCGACAGCGUGGGGAGCAAACAGG
RNAcentral lists this ribosomal RNA (253 nucleotides) under uncultured bacterium. RNAcentral's name for it is "partial 16S ribosomal RNA". It matches the Rfam family "Bacterial small subunit ribosomal RNA", at positions 524 to 776 of the family's 1533-position model. The record is from RNAcentral.